UUUUACAUGUGAAUUUGGAACAUGUAGUUUCACAUGUGAACACAUAUGAAAUUAUGUGUUUCACAUGUUCCAAGUUCACAUGUGAAA
Molecule: non-coding RNA, 87 nt
Organism: Paramuricea clavata
Lineage: Eukaryota; Metazoa; Cnidaria; Anthozoa; Malacalcyonacea; Plexauridae
Source: the annotation of a GenBank genome assembly